AUGCAAGUCGAGCGCUGAUUACGGGGUAGCAAUAUUCCGUGGUCGGAGCGGCGCAAGGGUGCGUAACACGUGGGUAAUCUGCCGUGAAGUCUGGAAUAACCUGCUGAAAGGCGAGCUAAUGCCGGAUGUGAAAAUUGUAAGGCAUCUUUUGAUUUUCAAAGUUGGGGACCGUAAGGCCUGACGCCUCAUGAUGAGCCCGCGGCCUAUCAGCUAGUUGGUGAGGUAACGGCUCACCAAGGCUAAGACGGGUAGCUGGUCUGAGAGGACGACCAGCCACACCGGAACUGAGACACGGUCCAGACACCUACGGGUGGCAGCAGUCGAGAAUUUUUCACAAUGGGCGAAAGCCUGAUGGAGCGACGCCGCGUGGGGGAUGAAUGGCUUCGGCCCGUAAACCCCUGUCAUUCGGGAUCAAUGCGUCUGGGUGAACAUCCCAAACGUUGAUAGUACCGGAAGAGGAAGGGACGGCUAACUCUGUGCCAGCAGCCGCGGUAAUACAGAGGUCCCAAGCGUUGUUCGGAUUUACUGGGCGUAAAGGGUGCGUAGGUGGUCGGGUAAGUCUGAUGUGAAAUCUCGGAGCUUAACUCCGAAACGGCAUUGGAUACUAUUCGGCUUGAGGGUUGGAGGGGGGACUGGAAUUCUCGGUGUAGCAGUGAAAUGCGUAGAUAUCGAGAGGAACACCAGUGGCGAAGGCGAGUCCCUGGACAACUCCUGACACUAAGGCACGAAAGCCAGGGGAGCAAACGGGAUUAGAUACCCCGGUAGUCCUGGCCCUAAACGGUGCACGUUUGCUGUAAAAGGAAUCGACCCCUUUUGUGGCGUAGCUAACGCGUUAAACGUGCCGCCUGGGAAGUACGGUCGCAAGAUUAAAACUCAAAGAAAUUGACGGGGGCCUGCACAAGCGGUGGAGUAUGUGGCUCAAUUCGAUGCAACGCGAAGACCUUACCUGGCCUUGACAUGCAGUGGUAGAAAGGAUGAAAGUCUGACGACCCCGCAAGGGGAGCUUGCACAGUGCUGCAUGCUGUCGUCAGCUCGUGUCGUGAGAUGUGGUAGUCCCGCACGAGCGC
RNAcentral lists this ribosomal RNA (1067 nucleotides) under uncultured bacterium. RNAcentral describes it as "bacterial SSU rRNA". It matches the Rfam family "Bacterial small subunit ribosomal RNA", at positions 55 to 1099 of the family's 1533-position model. The record is from RNAcentral.